GCUAACUUCGUGCCAGCAGCCGCGGUAAUACGAAGGGACCUAGCGUAGUUCGGAAUUACUGGGCUAAAGAGUUCGUAGGUNUGAAAAAGUUAGUGGUGAAAUCCCAGAGCUUAACUCUGGAACUGCCAUUAAAACUUUUCAGCUAGAGUAUGAUAGAGGAAAGCAGAAUUUCUAGUGUAGAGGUGAAAUCCGUAGAUAUUAGAAAGAAUACCAAUUGCGAAGGCAGCUUUCUGGAUCAUUACUGACACUGAGGAACGAAAGCAUGGGUAGCGAAGAGGAUUAGAUACCCUCGUAGUCCAUGCCGUAAACGAUGUGUGUUAGACGUUGGAAAUUUAUUUUCAGUGUCGCAGGGAAACCGAUAAACACACCGCCUGGGGAGUACGACCGCAAGGUUAAAACUCAAAUGAAUUGACGGGGACCCGCACAAGUAGUGGAGCAUGUGGUUUAAUUCGAAGAUACGCGCAGAACCUUACCAACACUUGACAUGUUCGUCGCGACUCUAAGAGAUUAGAGUUUUCGGUUCGGCCGGACGAAACACAGGUGCUGCAUGGCUGUCGUCAGCUCGUGUCGUGAGAUGUUGGGUUAAGUCCCGCAACGAGCGCAACCCUCACUUUUAGUUGCCAUCAUUAAGUUGGGCACUCUGAAAGAACUGCCAGUGAUAAGCUGGAGGAAGGUGGGGAUGACGUCAAGUCCUCAUGGCCCUUACGUGUUGGGCUACACACGUGCUACAAUGGUAUCUACAACAGGAAGCAAGACUGCGAAGUUAAGCAAAUCCCUAAAAGAUACCUCAGUUCGGAUUGCACUCUGCAAUUCGAGUGCAUGAAGCUGGAAUUACUAGUAAUCGUGGAUCAGCGUGCCACGGUGAAUGCGUUCCCGGGUCUUGUACACACCGCCCGUCACACCAUGGGAGUUGGUUCUACCUUAAGGCAAGGUUUUAAACCCUUGACCACGGUAUAGUCAGCGACUGGGGUGAAGUCGUAACAAGGUAGCCGUA
Molecule: ribosomal RNA, 994 nt
Filed under: uncultured bacterium
Lineage: Bacteria
Description: bacterial SSU rRNA
Rfam family: Bacterial small subunit ribosomal RNA
Source: RNAcentral